GUUGAACGAUCCUAUCUCUGCUUGCANAGAAUUGAAGAGUAUCGACCGGGUGAUCAUCACGUGGGUGACACUGCCCAUGAGAUGGGGAUAUCAUUCUGGAAACUGAUGCUAAUACCGCAUAAUGCUUUGGACCGCCUGGUCCAGAGACGAAAGACGGCUUUUGCUGUCACUCAUGGAUGGCCCCGCGCCGUAUAAGCUAGUUGGUGAGGUAAUGGCUCACCAAAUCUGUGAUAUGUAGCCGACCUGAUAUGGUGAUCGGCCUCUCUGGGACUGAUACACGGCCCAUACUCCUACGGGAGGCAGCAGUAUGGAAUCUUCCACAAUGGGCGAAAGCCUGAUGGAGCAAUGCCGCGUGAAUGAAGAAUGCCUUCUGAUCGUAAAGUUCUGUUAUUAGAGACGAACACGUCACUGAUUAACUGUCUUGACUUUGACGGUACCUAACCAUAAAGUCACGGCUAACUACGUGCCAGCAGCCGCGGUAAU
This 483-nucleotide ribosomal RNA is filed under the name uncultured bacterium. RNAcentral describes it as "bacterial SSU rRNA". It matches the Rfam family "Bacterial small subunit ribosomal RNA", at positions 61 to 524 of the family's 1533-position model. The record is from RNAcentral.